CCUGGAAGUUGUGAGACAUGGAUUUGCCUUUUCAUUUUUAAGGUUAUGGAUACCCCGCAGCACCCACUUUCAGCAGUGAGCUGAGCACAAUACCCUCCAGCAUCUCCUUGAUGAACCCAGAGCACUCUGGAGUGCUCAGAUAGCCCAACUCUGACUGAAUUCCAGUAGGAGGCCAUUUAAUAGGAACCUCUUUUAGAUAAAGUAUUUCUACAAACAUGGAAAUAAAGCAAUACUCUGUGAUCCUCUCCAAAAGAAACAGCGUCAGAGAAGUUCAGUGUGGAAAACCUUUUUUGAUCAUCACAGUCCCUUCCUCAUUACUGAAGGAGGUAGGGCUCCAGACUGUCUGCCGAAAACACAACUGACAAAGGUGCAGCUGUGGUGCAUGAUAUAUGAUGAUGGCAAUCACUGGGACACAUCUGGGGAGCCUGAGUUUCAUUAUUCUGUUCCACAUCCUUGCCACUGACCCCAUUAUGUGGGUGGUUUCAACGUAUUUUGUCUGCUAAAGGGCUACAAGAAGAACUGAGGCUUAAGCUUCAGCUAUUACAUCUGCUUUCCUGCAUUCCCAAAGGUAACAGAGGAACCUGCUUUGUCUGCACUAGUUUAACAGAAAAUCCCCUCUGUUCAUGUAUUCUCAAUCAGUCCAAAAAUAAUUAUCCUUUGACUGGGUCUGACUGUAAUACAACCUGCCCAUCUGACUCAAGAGUUCAGGUUAUUCACAGAAUCAUAAAGACCAUAAGGAGAAGACCACCAAGGUCUAGUCCAACCGUCAACCCAUCACCACCAUGUCCACUAAACCAUGUCCCAUGGUGCUGGAUCCUAAAAAAGUACACGCAUAACAAGAUGUAAAACUUCUGUCUUUCCAGCGACAUUUCUAUUAUUGUUAUUUCUUCAAGAAAUAAAUAAGAAAUCAAAUAAAUGCAAACCAUUCCAC
Molecule: long non-coding RNA, 931 nt
Organism: Gallus gallus (chicken)
Lineage: Eukaryota; Metazoa; Chordata; Aves; Galliformes; Phasianidae
Source: Ensembl